AUAAUUUCACAAACAUGUUAUUUUGAUAACAAUUGUAUUAUUACCUGUGCUAUAAAGGCAAUAAUCAUUACAAUAAGAAUUAUGAAACGUAUGAAAAAUUUCAUGAAUUUUCCCUGAUCAGGCCACACACCAACAAGCUGUCCGAAAAAUUUGUUAUCCUUGAGAUAUAACUCUUCCAUUGCUUGUUGAUCCAUAUUUUAUCACACAAUAUUUUAUCACAAGAUCUCUUUUAUCUUUUAGACUAUCCUCGAGAAGCGUUUCUCAAGUUUUCAAAUCCACGAAGAAAUUGCCAUGACUAGGACAGUUUAAGUGCAAAUGUGAAUAUUCUCCACUGCAAUAGUGACAGUAGUAACAAUAUGUAGUAGCUAUGGCUAGUGAUGCGGUAAUCUGUAUGCACUAAGUGGAUAAGUGGAUCUAUAUGAGGGGAUUGAAAAAUUAAUGGUGGAAAGUAUUCUUUUCAAUACUCGUCCCAGCAUUUUAAUCACAGUAUAACAUUCGUAGCAAGAAUAUUGCAUUAUGCCAAAUUAAUCACGUGCAUAUUGCCCUCUUCACGUGGUAUCUGGUACUAUAUCUCUGCAUUAUCCUGUAAGUAAUUAUAAAUAAUUAAAUAUUUUUCAAAGCAUUUUUAAUUUUUAAUAAAAAUAUUAAAUGAAAAUACUAAAAUGAAAGGGUAUAUUAUUUUAUUCGUUAUUUUCAGCACUUAUAUAAC
Apis dorsata (giant honeybee) is the source of this 709-nucleotide long non-coding RNA. RefSeq lists it as uncharacterized. The transcript is spliced from 4 exons. The record is from RefSeq and is a predicted model, not a curated record. Lineage: Eukaryota; Metazoa; Arthropoda; Insecta; Hymenoptera; Apidae.